Molecule: non-coding RNA, 23 nt
Filed under: Arabidopsis thaliana (thale cress)
Lineage: Eukaryota; Viridiplantae; Streptophyta; Magnoliopsida; Brassicales; Brassicaceae
Source: RNAcentral
AAAUCAUAUUGUGGUCAAGUGAA